GGUGGAUAUGGACGACUAGGCCCAGGGAUGCGAGUUUCCCCCCAACCCCGCCCCCGCCCCUCCCCCCCCUUCCCGAGGCUGUCUCUGUCCUCCCCUGUGCAAGGAGGAGUGGGAUUCCCUGACAGCCCGGGGGUCGCUUGAAGGGGAGACUGGGCAACCAGUCAGCCCCGUGCUUAAGGCCUGUUUUGAAGUAGAAAAGCUUGGAGUCUGCUGAAUGCCUUGUAGUAGAUUAGGUCUGUUUCCACAAUUCAGGAUUCAUUUAUUGCAUUAGCAAAUCCCGAUAUAGAAACUAUUAGUUUUCUGUGGAAUAAAUAUAUGCAUACUUGAGCAAUUUCUAUUUGGUGGGUAACAGCUUUACAUACCGAUGUUUGAAAAGUUUUCAAACUGUCUUCAGGUUUGAUCGCUGCUAGUUAGUGCCAAUAACUUACAAUUAAGCAUGUACCAUGAUCCGUCACUGUACCAGAGCUUUAUAUAUACAAAUCUCAUGGGUUCCCUCCAUUUGAUGCUGUGAGAUAAGUCCUGUUAAUAUUUACCGUAUUCAAAAAAGAAACUGACAUGCCAGUGUUUUGGGACAGAUGACUUACACCAGUGAGCCAGGAAGAAGAGGAAUUUAGUGGUUGAGUGACUGGUUCAAGGUCACACCCAUAAACUAAAGAGCGAAUCUGGGUCUUGAACUAGAGACUUUUGGCCAGCUUGACUUGAAAAACAAACUAACUGUGUUGUGUACGCUGCUGUUCUUUCGUCUGUCCUUACCUUUAUGUGCAAUGAAUUACCAGAAGUCGGAAGUCUUAUAUGUUGGGGGUUGGGUGAGUUAAGAAGUGAAGUGCCUGGUGGGGAUUUUAUGUCGCUGUCAGUUACUAAGCAAAGUGUCCCGCUUUGUCAGCGCUAGAAAUAAACUUUGUGAUAGUCUGUACUAAGUUAUUAACUCCCCUUUCCCUUGUUUCUUGUCUUUGUUCCCACACUCUUUUACCUGAGGUUAUAAAAUGAGAACUUGAGUUUUCAGUGUGGACGAUAUUUAACUAGCACUAGCCAGAAAUAACCUUCAGGAGAAUGUGGCUACUUUCAUUGUUACUGAAUUAACUGCCAAUGAAUUGUAAAUGUUACUGUCACAUCAGUGUACCUUAUUUGAGUAGACUUUUAACACGUGUAAUUGUGUGUUUGAAUCUGUUUUACUGUGACAUUGAUGUUCUUGUGAAAAAUACAGCAGAAGACUGAACAAAUUUCCC
RNAcentral lists this long non-coding RNA (1226 nucleotides) under Rattus norvegicus (Norway rat). RNAcentral describes it as "long non-coding RNA NONRATT030878". The record is from RNAcentral. Lineage: Eukaryota; Metazoa; Chordata; Mammalia; Rodentia; Muridae.